RNAcentral lists this ribosomal RNA (2931 nucleotides) under Proteus columbae. RNAcentral describes it as "23S ribosomal RNA". It matches the Rfam family "Bacterial large subunit ribosomal RNA". Lineage: Bacteria; Pseudomonadati; Pseudomonadota; Gammaproteobacteria; Enterobacterales; Morganellaceae. The record is from RNAcentral.
GGGUUGUGAGGUUAAGCGAAUAAGCGUACACGGUGGAUGCCUAGGCAAUCAGAGGCGAUGAAGGACGUGCUAAUCUGCGAUAAGCGUCGGUAAGGUGAUAUGAACCGUUAUACCCGACGAUUUCCGAAUGGGGAAACCCAAUAUCCAAUGGAUAUUAUCAUUAACUGAAUACAUAGGUUAAUGAAGCGAACCGGGAGAACUGAAACAUCUCAGUACCCCGAGGAAAAGAAAUCAACCGAGAUUCCCCUAGUAGCGGCGAGCGAACGGGGAACAGCCCAGAGUCUUAAUCAAUAGCAGCAUCAGGAGAACGGUCUGGAAAGUCCGGCAGUAAAGGGUGAUAGCCCCGUAUCUGAAGAUGCUGUUAUUGUGAACUCGACGAGUAGGGCGGGACACGUGUUAUCCUGUCUGAAUAUGGGGGGACCAUCCUCCAAGGCUAAAUACUCCUGAUUGACCGAUAGUGAACCAGUACCGUGAGGGAAAGGCGAAAAGAACCCCGGCGAGGGGAGUGAAAAAGAACCUGAAACCGUGUACGUACAAGCAGUAGGAGCCUCUUUAUGGGGUGACUGCGUACCUUUUGUAUAAUGGGUCAGCGACUUAUAUUCUGUAGCAAGGUUAACCGAAUAGGGGAGCCGUAGGGAAACCGAGUCUUAACUGGGCGAAUGAGUUGCAGGGUAUAGACCCGAAACCCGGUGAUCUAUCCAUGGGCAGGUUGAAGGUUGGGUAACACUAACUGGAGGACCGAACCGACUAAUGUUGAAAAAUUAGCGGAUGACUUGUGGAUGGGGGUGAAAGGCCAAUCAAACCGGGAGAUAGCUGGUUCUCCCCGAAAGCUAUUUAGGUAGCGCCUCGUGAACUCAUCUUCGGGGGUAGAGCACUGUUUCGACUAGGGGGUCAUCCCGACUUACCAACUCGAUGCAAACUGCGAAUACCGAAGAAUGUUAUCACGGGAGACACACGGCGGGUGCUAACGUUCGUCGUGAAGAGGGAAACAACCCAGACCGCCAGCUAAGGUCCCAAAGUCAUGGUUAAGUGGGAAACGAAGUGGGAAGGCUCAGACAGCCAGGAUGUUGGCUUAGAAGCAGCCAUCAUUUAAAGAAAGCGUAAUAGCUCACUGGUCGAGUCGGCCUGCGCGGAAGAUGUAACGGGGCUAAACUAUGCACCGAAGCUGCGGCAGCGAUAUGUAAAUAUUGUUGGGUAGGGGAGCGUUCUGUAAGCCUGUGAAGGUGUGCUGUGAGGCAUGCUGGAGGUAUCAGAAGUGCGAAUGCUGACAUAAGUAACGAUAAUGCGGGUGAAAAACCCGCACGCCGGAAGACCAAGGGUUCCUGUCCAACGUUAAUCGGGGCAGGGUGAGUCGACCCCUAAGGCGAGGCUGAAAAGCGUAGUCGAUGGGAAACGGGUUAAUAUUCCCGUACUGGUGGUAACUGCGAUGGGGGAACGGAGAAGGCUAGGUUGUCCGGGCGACGGUCGUCCCGGUUCAAGCAUGUAGGCAGAGUGAUUAGGCAAAUCCGGUCACUUAAUGCUGAGGUGUGAUGACGAGCCACUAAGGUGGUGAAGCAAUUGAUGCCCUGCUUCCAGGAAAAGCCUCUAAGCUUCAGGUUACCAACAAUCGUACCCCAAACCGACACAGGUGGUCAGGUAGAGAAUACUCAGGCGCUUGAGAGAACUCGGGUGAAGGAACUAGGCAAAAUGGUGCCGUAACUUCGGGAGAAGGCACGCUGGCGGUAAGUGAAGUCCCUUGCGGACGGAGCCGAAGCCAGUCGAAGAUACCAGCUGGCUGCAACUGUUUAUUAAAAACACAGCACUGUGCAAACACGAAAGUGGACGUAUACGGUGUGACGCCUGCCCGGUGCUGGAAGGUUAAUUGAUGGGGUUAUCCGUAAGGAGAAGCUCUUGAUCGAAGCCCCAGUAAACGGCGGCCGUAACUAUAACGGUCCUAAGGUAGCGAAAUUCCUUGUCGGGUAAGUUCCGACCUGCACGAAUGGCGUAAUGAUGGCCAGGCUGUCUCCACCCGAGACUCAGUGAAAUUGAACUCGCUGUGAAGAUGCAGUGUACCCGCGGCAAGACGGAAAGACCCCGUGAACCUUUACUAUAGCUUGACACUGAACAUUGAGCCUUGAUGUGUAGGAUAGGUGGGAGACUUAGAAGUGUGGACGCCAGUCUGCAUGGAGUCAACCUUGAAAUACCACCCUUUAACGUUUGAUGUUCUAACCUAGGCCCAUAAUCUGGGUCGGGGACCGUGUCUGGUGGGUAGUUUGACUGGGGCGGUCUCCUCCUAAAGAGUAACGGAGGAGCACGAAGGUUGGCUAAGCAUGGUCGGACAUCAUGCGGUUAGUGCAAAGGCAUAAGCCAGCUUGACUGUGAGAGUGACGGCUCGAGCAGGUACGAAAGUAGGUCUUAGUGAUCCGGUGGUUCUGAAUGGAAGGGCCAUCGCUCAACGGAUAAAAGGUACUCCGGGGAUAACAGGCUGAUACCGCCCAAGAGUUCAUAUCGACGGCGGUGUUUGGCACCUCGAUGUCGGCUCAUCACAUCCUGGGGCUGAAGUAGGUCCCAAGGGUAUGGCUGUUCGCCAUUUAAAGUGGUACGCGAGCUGGGUUUAGAACGUCGUGAGACAGUUCGGUCCCUAUCUGCCGUGGGCGUUGGAAGAUUGAGAGGGGUUGCUCCUAGUACGAGAGGACCGGAGUGAACGCACCACUGGUGUUCGGGUUGUCAUGCCAAUGGCAUUGCCCGGUAGCUAAGUGCGGAAGAGAUAACCGCUGAAAGCAUCUAAGCGGGAAACUUGCCUCGAGAUGAGUCUUCCCUGUCACCUAGAGUGACCUAAAGGAACGUUUAAGACUAAGACGUUGAUAGGCUGGGUGUGUAAGCGUAGCGAUACGUUGAGCUAACCAGUACUAAUGAACCGUGAGGCUUAACCUGACAACACCGAAGGUGUUU